This 364-nucleotide transfer-messenger RNA is filed under the name Paenibacillus sp. It matches the Rfam family "transfer-messenger RNA". From Rfam's summary of the family: Bacterial tmRNA, also known as 10Sa RNA or SsrA, is named for its dual tRNA and mRNA-like properties. Its role is to liberate the mRNA from a stalled ribosome. To accomplish this part of the tmRNA is used as a reading frame that ends in a translation stop signal. Lineage: Bacteria; Bacillati; Bacillota; Bacilli; Caryophanales; Paenibacillaceae. The record is from RNAcentral.
GGGGGCGUUUAUGGAUUCGACGGGGGUAGAUCGAGCAUGGGUAGCGGGUAGUGGGGACGCGUCCACUUCAUCAACGCUAAAGCCAAUUAAACGGCAAACAAAACAACAACUUAGCUUUCGCAGCUUAAUAACCUGUGAGCUAGCUCUAUCUCUGCAUCGCCCAUGUGCCGGGAAUAGGGCCCAACUUUAGUGGGAUACGCCGUCUGGUCUCCGCCUGGGGUCAACGGAAGAAGAUAAUCAGGCUGACCCGAAGGGAAUCCGGUGACAGGGAGUCUCUAGGGUGACAUCAAAACUGUCACUACACCCGUAGAAACCUAUGUGGCGUUGCCUUCGGACAGGGGUUCGACUCCCCUCGCCUCCAUAU